GCUGACGAGUGGCGGACGGGUGAGUAAUGUCUGGGAAACUGCCUGAUGGAGGGGGAUAACUACUGGAAACGGUAGCUAAUACCGCAUAACGUCGCAAGACCAAAGAGGGGGACCUUCGGGCCUCUUGCCAUCGGAUGUGCCCAGAUGGGAUUAGCUAGUAGGUGGGGUAACGGCUCACCUAGGCGACGAUCCCUAGCUGGUCUGAGAGGAUGACCAGCCACACUGGAACUGAGACACGGUCCAGACUCCUACGGGAGGCAGCAGUGGGGAAUAUUGCACAAUGGGCGCAAGCCUGAUGCAGCCAUGCCGCGUGUAUGAAGAAGGCCUUCGGGUUGUAAAGUACUUUCAGCGGGGAGGAAGGGAGUAAAGUUAAUACCUUUGCUCAUUGACGUUACCCGCAGAAGAAGCACCGGCUAACUCCGUGCCAGCAGCCGCGGUAAUACGGAGGGUGCAAGCGUUAAUCGGAAUUACUGGGCGUAAAGCGCACGCAGGCGGUUUGUUAAGUCAGAUGUGAAAUCCCCGGGCUCAACCUGGGAACUGCAUCUGAUACUGGCAAGCUUGAGUCUCGUAGAGGGGGGUAGAAUUCCAGGUGUAGCGGUGAAAUGCGUAGAGAUCUGGAGGAAUACCGGUGGCGAAGGCGGCCCCCUGGACGAAGACUGACGCUCAG
Molecule: ribosomal RNA, 667 nt
Filed under: Escherichia coli 908522
Lineage: Bacteria; Pseudomonadati; Pseudomonadota; Gammaproteobacteria; Enterobacterales; Enterobacteriaceae
Description: bacterial SSU rRNA
Rfam family: Bacterial small subunit ribosomal RNA
Source: RNAcentral